UUGCCAUGUCAUGCGGCGGAAACUAUCACCGGCCUCGAUUUCGAGUCGGUGCGCGGCAAUCACUCGAUCGCUUGGAUUUGGCAGAACUCCGGCGCCUUCAAUCGCUACCGUGGCACCGGCUGGAUGCCGGGGGCGUGGCGGGGGUCGGAGUUGCGAGUUCAAGGAAAUCGAUUUCGGCGGUUGCCGUUGUCAGGCCUUCGCGUUGA
This 206-nucleotide unclassified non-coding RNA is filed under the name Hevea brasiliensis (rubber tree). The record is from RNAcentral. Lineage: Eukaryota; Viridiplantae; Streptophyta; Magnoliopsida; Malpighiales; Euphorbiaceae.